AGAGAUUUAGUAUAUUUUUUAGUAUAGCAUGUUGUCUACUUGCAGGAGUUGUUCUUUA
This 58-nucleotide transfer RNA is filed under the name Cercopithifilaria johnstoni. The record is from RNAcentral. Lineage: Eukaryota; Metazoa; Nematoda; Chromadorea; Rhabditida; Onchocercidae.